CCUACGGGAUGCAGCAGUGAGGAAUAUUGGUCAAUGGACGAGAGUCUGAACCAGCCAAGUAGCGUGAAGGAUGACUGCCCUAUGGGUUGUAGACUUCUUUUAUAUGGGAAUAAAAUUUUCCAAGUGUAGGGUUUUGUAUGUACCAUAUGAAUAAAGAUCGGCUAACUCCGUGCCAGCAGCCGCGGUAAUACGGAGGAUCCGAGCGUUAUCCGGAUUUAUUGGGUGUAAAGGGAGCGUAGGUGGAUUGUUAAGUCAGUUGUGAAAGUUUGCGGCUCAAACGUAAAAUUGCAGUUGAAACUGGCAGUCUUGAGUACAGCAGAGGUGGGCGGAAUUCGUGGUGUAGCGGUGAAAUGCUUAGAUAUCACGAAGAACUCCGAUUGCGAAGGCAGUUCACUGGACUGCAACUGACACUGAGGCUCGAAAGUGUGGGUAUCAAACAGGAUUAGAUACCCGGGUAGUC
RNAcentral lists this ribosomal RNA (460 nucleotides) under uncultured bacterium. RNAcentral's name for it is "partial 16S ribosomal RNA". It matches the Rfam family "Bacterial small subunit ribosomal RNA", at positions 338 to 795 of the family's 1533-position model. The record is from RNAcentral.